This 325-nucleotide long non-coding RNA is filed under the name Nicotiana benthamiana. Its description in RNAcentral is "long non-coding RNA (NBEN_LNC001886)". Lineage: Eukaryota; Viridiplantae; Streptophyta; Magnoliopsida; Solanales; Solanaceae. The record is from RNAcentral.
GCCGCACGGAGGCGAAACCUCGGCCAGGAUUUAAGUGGCCAAAAUCGACCCCGUGACAAUAACCAUGACAAGAUUCUACAUAUGAUGCUUUAUAACCUAGCUAGUUUGGGAUUGAGGCGUGGUAGUGGUAGUUAAUCUUUGAUCUCUUUGGCCGGUGUUAAAAGAACACAAUUAUAUGUAGGAAAAUAAGUUAGGUCCAUAGUUGUGCAAAUCAACAACAACAACUAUCCAGUAUUGUCCCACAAACUGGGGCCUGGGGAGAGUAAUAUGUAGACGAGCCUUACCCCUACCCGAAAGGAUAGAGAGGCUGUUUCCAGUCGACCCU